This 737-nucleotide ribosomal RNA is filed under the name Paenalcaligenes sp. RNAcentral's name for it is "bacterial SSU rRNA". It matches the Rfam family "Bacterial small subunit ribosomal RNA", at positions 28 to 754 of the family's 1533-position model. The record is from RNAcentral. Lineage: Bacteria; Pseudomonadati; Pseudomonadota; Betaproteobacteria; Burkholderiales; Alcaligenaceae.
AUUGAACGCUAGCGGGAUGCUUUACACAUGCAAGUCGAACGGCAGCGCGAGAGAGCUUGCUCUCUUGGCGGCGAGUGGCGGACGGGUGAGUAAUAUAUCGGAACGUGCCCAGUAGCGGGGGAUAACUACUCGAAAGAGUGGCUAAUACCGCAUACGCCCUACGGGGGAAAGGGGGGGAUCGCAAGACCUCUCACUAUUGGAGCGGCCGAUAUCGGAUUAGCUAGUUGGUGGGGUAAAGGCUCACCAAGGCAACGAUCCGUAGCUGGUUUGAGAGGACGACCAGCCACACUGGGACUGAGACACGGCCCAGACUCCUACGGGAGGCAGCAGUGGGGAAUUUUGGACAAUGGGGGAAACCCUGAUCCAGCCAUCCCGCGUGUAUGAUGAAGGCCUUCGGGUUGUAAAGUACUUUUGGCAGAGAAGAAAAGGUACCUCCUAAUACGAGGUACUGCUGACGGUAUCUGCAGAAUAAGCACCGGCUAACUACGUGCCAGCAGCCGCGGUAAUACGUAGGGUGCAAGCGUUAAUCGGAAUUACUGGGCGUAAAGCGUGUGUAGGCGGUUCGGAAAGAAAGAUGUGAAAUCCCAGGGCUCAACCUUGGAACUGCAUUUUUAACUGCCGAGCUAGAGUAUGUCAGAGGGGGGUAGAAUUCCACGUGUAGCAGUGAAAUGCGUAGAUAUGUGGAGGAAUACCGAUGGCGAAGGCAGCCCCCUGGGAUAAUACUGACGCUCAGACAC